This 187-nucleotide ribosomal RNA is filed under the name uncultured fungus. RNAcentral describes it as "partial 28S ribosomal RNA". Lineage: Eukaryota; Fungi. The record is from RNAcentral.
GGUUCCUCGCAGCUUACUGGGCCAGCAUCGGUUUGGAUGGUAGGAUAAUGACUAAGGAAUGUGGCUCUACUUCGGUGGAGUGUUAUAGCCUUGGUUGAUACUGCCUGUCUAGACCGAGGACUGCGUCUUUGACUAGGAUGCUGGCAUAAUGAUCUUAAGCCACCCGUCUUGUAACACGGACCAAGGA